CAAUAGCGUAUAUUAAAGUUGUUGCAGUUAAAAGCUCGUAGUUGGAUUUCUGGCCGAGUGUCCCUAGGCCAGCAUGACGUUUGGUCCUAGGCGCUCUGCCAUCCUUCUGUCAACCUUCGCCUUCUUCAUUGGGGGCGGCUGGGGCGUCAGAUAUUUUACCUUUGAGAAAAUUAAGAGUGUUUCAGGCAGGCUUUCGUCCGGAAUAACAUUAGCAUGGAAUAAUGGAAAAGGGAACUUCAACCUCCUUCUGUUGGUCUGAGAGGCUGUAGUAAUGAUUAAUAGGGAGUAUUGGGGGCGAUUAGUACUUAACUGUCAGAGGUGAAAUU
This 326-nucleotide ribosomal RNA is filed under the name uncultured eukaryote. RNAcentral's name for it is "bacterial SSU rRNA". It matches the Rfam family "Eukaryotic small subunit ribosomal RNA", at positions 592 to 918 of the family's 1831-position model. The record is from RNAcentral.